Molecule: ribosomal RNA, 306 nt
Filed under: uncultured fungus
Lineage: Eukaryota; Fungi
Description: SSU rRNA
Rfam family: Eukaryotic small subunit ribosomal RNA
Source: RNAcentral
AGGCAAUAACAGGUCUGUGAUGCCCUUAGAUGUUCUGGGCCGCACGCGCGCUACACUGAUCAAGUCAACGAGUUUACAACCUUGGCCGGAAGGUCUGGGUAAUCUUUUGAAACUUGAUCGUGCUGGGGAUAGUCCAUUGCAAUUAUUGGACUUCAACGAGGAAUUCCUAGUAAGCGUGAGUCAUCAGCUCGCGUUGAUUACGUCCCUGCCCUUUGUACACACCGCCCGUCGCUACUACCGAUUGAAUGGCUUAGUGAGGCUUUCGGAUUGGACUUUGGCAGCUGGCAACAGCAGCUAGGACUGAAA